ACGGAGGGUGCAAGCGUUAAUCGGAAUUAUUGGGCGUAAAGGGUGCGUAGGUGGUUAGGUAAGUUAUCUGUGAAAGCCCCGGGCUCAACCUGGGACGGUCAGAUAAAACUGCUUGACUCGAGUAUAGGAGAGGGUAGUGGAAUUUCCGGUGUAGCGGUGAAAUGCGUAGAGAUCGGAAGGAACACCAGUGGCGAAGGCGGCUACCUGGCCAGAUACUGACACUGAAGCACGAAAGCGUGGGGAGCAAACAGG
RNAcentral lists this ribosomal RNA (252 nucleotides) under uncultured bacterium. Its description in RNAcentral is "partial 16S ribosomal RNA". It matches the Rfam family "Bacterial small subunit ribosomal RNA", at positions 525 to 776 of the family's 1533-position model. The record is from RNAcentral.